Molecule: ribosomal RNA, 253 nt
Filed under: uncultured prokaryote
Description: partial 16S ribosomal RNA
Rfam family: Bacterial small subunit ribosomal RNA
Source: RNAcentral
UACGGGGGGGGCUAGCGUUAUUCGGAAUCAUUGGGCGUAAAGGGCGCGUAGGCGGCACGGUAAGUCAAAGGUGAAAUCCCUCGGCUCAACUGAGGAACUGCCUUUGAAACUGCCGAGCUUGAGUCCGGGAGGGGGUAGCGGAAUUCCCAGUGUAGCGGUGAAAUGCGUAGAUAUUGGGAGGAACACCAGUGGCGAAGGCGGCUACCUGGACCGGAACUGACGCUGAGGAGCGAAAGCCAGGGGAGCAAACGGG